Triticum aestivum (bread wheat) is the source of this 124-nucleotide non-coding RNA. The record is from Rfam. NCBI's taxonomy places the organism in Eukaryota, Viridiplantae, Streptophyta, Magnoliopsida, Poales, Poaceae.
AAACUACUCCCUUCGUUCAGAAAUACUUGUCCUAGAACUGGUUGUAUUUAGACUUAUUUUAAUUAUAAAUACAUCCAUUUUAUCCAUUUCUAAGACAAGUAUUUCCGGACGGACGGAGUACAUU